AGCACGUAGGUGGGUUUGUAAGUCAGACGUGAAAGCCUUCUGUUCAACGGAAGAAUUGCAUCUGAAACUACAAACCUUGAGUGUAGGAGGGGAGAAUGGAACUUCUGGUGGAGCGGUGAAAUGCGUAGAUAUCAGAAGGAACACCGGCGGCGAAAGCGAUUCUCUGGCCUAUUACUGACACUCAGUGUGCGAAAGCUAGGGGAGCAAACGGGAUUAGAUACCCCGGUAGUCCUAGCCGUAAACGAUGGGCACUAAGUAGAGGGAAUUACCGAUGUUCUCUCUGCCGUAGCUAACGCAUUAAGUGCCCCGCCUGGGGAGUACGGCCGCAAGGCUAAAACUCAAAAGAAUUGACGGGGGCUCGCACAAGCGGUGGAGCAUGUGGCUUAAUUCGAUGCAACGCGAAAAACCUUACCGGGGCUUGACAUGGUAGAAGUAGGAACCCGAAAGGGUAACGAACGGUAUCCAGUCCGUGACUAUCACAGGUGUUGCAUGGCUGUCGUCAGCUCGUGUCGUGAGACGUUGGGUUAAGUCCCCUAACGAGCGAAACCCUUGUUUUUAGUUGCCAGCGGGUUAUGCCGGGCACUCUAGAAAGACUGCCGUCGUCAAGACGGAGGAAGGUGGGGAUGACGUCAAGUCAUCAUGGCCCUUAUGCCCCGGGCUGCACACGUGCUACAAUGGCCGGUACAAACGGAAGCGAAGCCGAGAGGUGAAGCGAAUC
RNAcentral lists this ribosomal RNA (718 nucleotides) under uncultured Planctomycetota bacterium. Its description in RNAcentral is "bacterial SSU rRNA". It matches the Rfam family "Bacterial small subunit ribosomal RNA", at positions 566 to 1273 of the family's 1533-position model. The record is from RNAcentral. Lineage: Bacteria; Pseudomonadati; Planctomycetota.